CUACGGGGUGCAGCAGUGGGGAAUAUUGGACAAUGGGGGAAACCCUGAUGCAGCAACGCCGCGUGGAGGAUGACACAUUUCGGUGCGUAAACUCCUUUUAUAGGUCAAGAUAAUGACGGUAGCCUAUGAAUAAGCGCCGGCUAACUCCGUGCCAGCAGCCGCGGUAAUACGGGAGGGCGCAAGCGUUACUCGGAAUCACUGGGCGUAAAGAGCAUGUAGGCGGGUUAAUAAGUCAGAAGUGAAAUCCAAUAGCUCAACUAUUGAACUGCUUUUGAAACUGUUAACCUAGAGUGUGGGAGAGGUAGAUGGAAUUUCUGGUGUAGGGGUAAAAUCCGUAGAGAUCAGAAGGAAUACCGAUUGCGAAGGCGAUCUACUGGAACAUUACUGACGCUGAGAUGCGAAAGCGUGGGGAGCAAACAGGAUUAGAUACCCUCGUAGUC
RNAcentral lists this ribosomal RNA (440 nucleotides) under uncultured bacterium. RNAcentral's name for it is "partial 16S ribosomal RNA". It matches the Rfam family "Bacterial small subunit ribosomal RNA", at positions 339 to 795 of the family's 1533-position model. The record is from RNAcentral.